CGGCGCCACGAGUGGCAAUCAUGUAUUUGGCCUAAAGCGUCCGUAGCCGGUUUGGCAAAUCUUCUGUGAAAUCGAACAGCUCAACUGUUCGGCGGGCAGGAGACACUACCAAACUUGGAACCGGGAGGGGUACAGAGUAUUCCAGGGGAAGCGGUAAAAUGCUAUAAUCCCUGGAGGACUACCUAUGGCGAAGGCACUGUACCAGAACGGAUUCGACGGUGAGGGACGAAAGCCAGGGGAGCGAUCCGGAUUAGAUACCCGAGUAGUCC
Molecule: ribosomal RNA, 269 nt
Filed under: uncultured archaeon
Lineage: Archaea
Description: partial 16S ribosomal RNA
Rfam family: Archaeal small subunit ribosomal RNA
Source: RNAcentral